Molecule: RNA transcript, 1184 nt
Organism: Panicum virgatum (switchgrass)
Lineage: Eukaryota; Viridiplantae; Streptophyta; Magnoliopsida; Poales; Poaceae
Exons: 3
Source: RefSeq, a predicted model, not a curated record
CUGUAUUUCGCACACACGCAGCCGUCGCCCCCGCUGUCGCGAAGCAGCCCCCCUCCGGACCCUUCUUCUCCGGCGGCGGGUUCGACGGCCGCGGUGCCUCCCCUCCGCGCACCGGGCGCGGAACCUGCAGUAGAACCCGCCCCCGCCAAGCAGAGGAGGCCCCGCUCCCCAACCUUCUUCUCCGGCGGCGGUGGCUUCCCUCCCCUCCAAGAAGCGACGGCGCCUCCCCUCCCCCACCCGGUGCUCCACCUUCGGUCGCUCCCCUCCCCUCCAAGAAGCGCCGGCGCUGCUACCCUCCAGAUCUGCGGUGAUGGACCCCCGGCCUGCCCAUGUUUUUUCAAGGGAAGACGUUGUGAUUCCACGAGUUUGUCUCACAUACCUGGGAAUCCACGAAGGUCAUCACAGCGACCUUGUUCUGGCCUGGUCGCCUGUCGAUUUUAACAACCGUUUCAUGUCGAUUGUGCGAGCCCUAGAGUAUCUGGUUGGAUCUGAACGUGUUGGGGAUUUCCGUGUUGCUGUAGACCCUGUGACAAAUGAUGGUUUUAUCCGCUGCAGUCAUGCUGAAGUUGCUGAGUACCUUCGGGGGCACUGUGUCCUUGUUGGGCAUGAGGAAGUUUACUUUUUCAUAAUUCGCAAUGUUCUGAUGCCGCCAUUCGAUGAAGAUGUAAACCAGCAUCUUGAGGUGCAUGCUGGACGGUGCAUGUAAACAGGCCUAAGGUCAACACUCCACACGGCAAGAUAUUUGCUAUACACACGCAUGCCACAGCCUCCCGAUUGGGUCUAAUCGUCAACGCAGGGUUGUCAGCAACAGCUCUCAACAAUCUCUUAUGCACAAGCCAAUUCAUGGGAUGCCUUGCGACCUCUGCAACUCUGUUGAUGCAUACAAAACUGCCGGAGGAGUUGACCAGAUGGAGCGAUGAUAGUGAAUUAGCAACGUCAUGUGUGAAAAACUUUCUUCAGAGUCCAAACAAACGACAGUGUGAAGGACGGGGAGUGGUUACUUCCGUGCGCUGCUGAGGUCAGUGGUUAGAAACUUGGAAUAGGAUCGUCGUUUACGGCACUGCUUCUUGUUGAUUUCUUAAACCACAGCAUGUUUGUCAUGUCAAUGCAGUAAGCAGAUUCGAAUGAUCUGAUCUCUCAUGGAACUACAUAUCUUGUGGGAAUGCAAAAUGCUUUGUGUACAA